Molecule: long non-coding RNA, 661 nt
Organism: Scleropages formosus (Asian bonytongue)
Lineage: Eukaryota; Metazoa; Chordata; Actinopteri; Osteoglossiformes; Osteoglossidae
Exons: 5
Source: RefSeq, a predicted model, not a curated record
GGAGGCCAUCGUGAGCUCAUUGAAUGAGACUUCAUUUAAAACAUGAACGAGCGCAGCGCAGAUGAAUACAUGAAGACCUCCAUGGGUCCGUUUGGCUGAAUGAUCAUGAGAAGAGCUGCAUAAGCCACAAUGGUCUGUCUCUUUUGCAGGGUAACAGUGUAGACCUGUUCAGAUCCCUAAGGGAAAAGGAGUACUGACUUGCUGGCCUUGAUAAAUGAGCCUGAAGAGAUGCUGAGAGUGAGACUAAACCAUGAUGUUCCACUUCAAUUUGUCUUCGGUUAUUUCUCCCACCUGGCUUUAUGCAACUCCUUCCUGCACAGGCCCUGGAGCCACAAAGCUCAGAAUAAAAAUUUUCCUGUUAUAUGUUCUUUUAAGGACUGCUGAAGCUUGGACUAAGUGAUGUGCAAAGAAUGAACAUUUAUAGCUAAGGUGUUCUAUAGCUGGUCCUUCAGUUCAUUCCUCUUUAUACAGUUCUGGUUUCAUUUUUCAUUUUCUUCAUGAUUUUGCAGACAUUUACAUAAAUCUAACAUUCAUAGCCUUUUAACUAUUUUUAUAUUCUGCUACAAUAAGCUACAGCUCUGAGAUUCACCGAGACCACUUCUAUUUUGUAACUAUGGUGUAUGAAAUCCUGCAGAAACUGAAAAUAAAAAUGUCAGAUAUA